Molecule: ribosomal RNA, 460 nt
Filed under: uncultured bacterium
Lineage: Bacteria
Description: SSU rRNA
Rfam family: Bacterial small subunit ribosomal RNA
Source: RNAcentral
AGAAUCAACGCUGGCGGCGUGCCUAACACAUGCAAGUCGAACGAGAAAGGGUAGCAAUACCUGAGUAAAGUGGCGCACGGGUGAGUAACACGUGACUAACCUACCUUUUAGUGGGGGAUAACCUAGGGAAACCUGGGCUAAUACCGCAUAAUACCUACGGGUCAAAGCAGCAAUGCGCUGGAAGAGGGGGUCGCGGCCGAUUAGCUAGUUGGCGGGGUAAUGGCCCACCAAGGCAGUGAUCGGUAUCCGGCCUGAGAGGGCGCACGGACACACUGGAACUGAAACACGGUCCAGACUCCUACGGGAGGCAGCAGUGGGGAAUUUGCGCAAUGGGGGAAACCCUGACGCAGCAACGCCGCGUGGAGGAUGAAGACCCUUGGGUCGUAAACUCCUUUCGAUCGGGACGAUAAUGACGGUACCGGAAGAAGAAGCCCCGGCUAACGUUCGCGCCAGCAGCCGC